This 373-nucleotide unclassified non-coding RNA is filed under the name Bursera malacophylla. Its description in RNAcentral is "partial external transcribed spacer". The record is from RNAcentral. Lineage: Eukaryota; Viridiplantae; Streptophyta; Magnoliopsida; Sapindales; Burseraceae.
GAGACAAGCAUAUGACUACUGGCAGGAUCAACCAGGUAGCAUUCCUUCGCGACGCCGACGCCCGCAUGAGACCCGACAGGCCGUAAGGCCGCGGGCUCAAGACGGGCACGGCAGUCGUUCGUGUCGAUGGACAAAUGCGUUGCUUGGGCAAACRGAGCUAUCAAAUAGACCCCGCACCCRCACAUAACAUUCUGCAUCCGAGAGCACGGGCAAUGCACCUCAUGGGCCGAGGCAGCGACGCAGCUGGGCGAAGCAUGCCGGGAACACGAGGCUUGCCUGAUGUCCACCCCAAAACCCGUGAGGGCAGGGGGCGGAAAGGGACUAACGAAACCAUCGGAUUCCUUUCGAUAGGUAAGCAACACAGGAUACCGAA